UACGGGGGGGGCAAGCGUUGUUCGGAAUUACUGGGCGUAAAGGGCUCGUAGGUGGCCAACUAAGUCAGACGUGAAAUCCCUCGGCUUAACCGGGGAACUGCGUCUGAUACUGGAUGGCUUGAGUUCGGGAGAGGGAUGCGGAAUUCCAGGUGUAGCGGUGAGAUGCGUAGAUAUCUGGAGGAACACCGGUGGCGAAGGCGGCAUCCUGGACCGACACUGACGCUGAGGAGCGAAAGCCAGGGGAGCAAACGGG
Molecule: ribosomal RNA, 253 nt
Filed under: uncultured bacterium
Lineage: Bacteria
Description: partial 16S ribosomal RNA
Rfam family: Bacterial small subunit ribosomal RNA
Source: RNAcentral